This is a long non-coding RNA of Brachypodium distachyon (stiff brome), 638 nucleotides long. RefSeq lists it as uncharacterized. The transcript has 2 exons. Lineage: Eukaryota; Viridiplantae; Streptophyta; Magnoliopsida; Poales; Poaceae. The record is from RefSeq and is a predicted model, not a curated record.
UUGUUGCAAAUAUAUCAUGAUAUACUUGCCAGCUUUUGGAUGCUUCGUAAUACGGUGCAAUUAUUAGCAAUAAUAAUUCCUGGGUGUUCUUUUUUGUUCACAAAGUUGACAGGCAUAUAUCCAUCUCAUCCGCCUACAAUUAACACAAUCACCAUUAUCUUUGCAAACAAUAACCUGCCUUCGAAUUUUGAUGUAUCUUGUUGAUUUUUAAAAUUUGAGUUCUUUUGGAUGGCUUUUCAGAAAAGGAUACUUUUUACUUUUUUUUUAACUGAACUGAGAUACUUUUUACUACCCGCAAACUUAUGUCAGUAUUGUUGUAUACUCGUAUUUUGUAGUCAAUCUGCAUGACUGUCCUGAUGUUAGGCACAGAAAGUAGCAACUACAUGUUUUAACCCUCCUUUUUAAUCCAAUCGUUCAAUUUGUGCAGCUGAGAGGACACACACAUCGGUGCUACAGUAAAAGCCAGUAGAUUCUUCUGGGAGGAUCAAUGAUGAAGCCAUACCCUAAUCCUGCCAUUGCUGUCUGCUUCGGUAGUUGAGCUGCAACUGUGGAAGGAGAGUUGGUGCAAGUUUGUCUGCAGAAAUGCAUUGUCAAGUCACAAUAUCUUUGAUACCAUACAAUUAUUUCGUGUUUAGAUA